CAAUAGCGUAUAUUUAAGUUGUUGCAGUUAAAAAGCUCGUAGUUGGAUUUCGGAUGGGACUUGCCGGUCCGUCGUUUCGAUGUGCACUGGCCAGUCCUAUCUUGUUGUCGGGGACUAGCUCCUGGGCUUCACUGUCCGGGACUAGGAGCUGACGAGGUUACUUUGAGUAAAUUAGAGUGUUCAAAGCAAGCCUACGCUCUGAAUACAUUAGCAUGGAAUAACACGAUAGGACUCUGGCUUAUCUUGUUGGUCUGUGAGACCAGAGUAAUGAUUAAGAGGGACAGUCGGGGGCAUUCGUAUUUCAUUGUCAGAGGUGAAAUUCUUGGAUUUGUGAAAGACGAACUUCUGCGAAAGCAUUUGUCAAGGAUGUUUUCAUUAA
RNAcentral lists this ribosomal RNA (379 nucleotides) under uncultured eukaryote. RNAcentral describes it as "partial 18S ribosomal RNA". It matches the Rfam family "Eukaryotic small subunit ribosomal RNA", at positions 592 to 976 of the family's 1831-position model. The record is from RNAcentral.